This 288-nucleotide unclassified non-coding RNA is filed under the name Hevea brasiliensis (rubber tree). Lineage: Eukaryota; Viridiplantae; Streptophyta; Magnoliopsida; Malpighiales; Euphorbiaceae. The record is from RNAcentral.
AAAAAAUGGGACUAGUGAAUUAAUAAUUCGGUAGAUGCAUGCUGUUGCUAAUUCAAUAUAUGAAGUGGUACUGGUAGGUAAUGUGAAGCAUGCUGUAAGCAGCUUCUUUAAGGAAGCAAUUAAAUUGUUACAUGUGUAAUUUUAAAGGUCUUAGGCUUGACCCACCAGAAUUGAUGUACAUAAUCAGAAUUUAGGAGUGGGAUUCAUGGCUUGUUUCCAAUCACUGAAAUAUUUUUUCUAACCUUUUGUUUUUCAAUCUUGCAGAUGAUGAGAAAUCCUUUGCGGAUG